Mus musculus (house mouse) is the source of this 853-nucleotide long non-coding RNA. RefSeq annotates it as predicted gene, 38870. The transcript is spliced from 4 exons. Lineage: Eukaryota; Metazoa; Chordata; Mammalia; Rodentia; Muridae. The record is from RefSeq and is a predicted model, not a curated record.
GCACUGAAGAGAGAUACUAGCUUUUGGAGAGGGACAGUGGGAGGUGAGGAUGUAGAUAGUGGAGACCUCAUUUCAGGUGGCAGAUCCAUUUGAAUAUACUACCUGAGGAUUUCACUCAGUAUGGCUUUUAAUUUGGAUGUUAGCUGUUGUGCCCAGUGAUUGAGUUACCACUGAUUCUGAACUAAGUUUGUGUGGUACUGUCCUUCAUGCAUCGGCAUGACAGGGUUCCAGAGAGAAAGGUUGUGGGGAUCUUAAUUCAGAUCAUCACUCUUGUGUAAUAAGCAGUUUAUCCCCCAAGUCAUCAGAUGAAAAUGUGGUGUUCGUUUCAUCUAGCUGUGAGCUGGAAAUGUUCCUCGUGUGUUGAAAUAGCAAUCGACUAAGAGUACACUCGAAGGAGGGGAAGUGGCCAGUGUUUACACUGACAGUUUAUCAACAGCUGUGAGCAUAAGGCAAAGUUCACCUCAGCUCUCAGGGACUCAGUCUUCUCAAGAGUAAACUAAAAUAACAGUAUGGGACAUACACCCGAAACAGUUGAUGAGACCCCUCUGAAAUGCUCUACUGGGAUGAAACCAAGAAGGGGACCAUGACAGAGGAGGCAUGGAGGAAAGCGAAGAAGAGAGGAGCACUGAACAUAUGCAACAUGGAAGCAGAGCAUAGCUGCUUGAGGAAGGAGGGGUCUGAGUGAGACGGAGUCAGGGGAAAAGGGAGAUUAGUGCAGCCCAGAGAGAACAGAACCAUACAUAACGCCAUGUGUGUUUGAAGAUGCCACAAUGAGCCUGCUUCAUCAACUGUUAACAGAAGAAAUUCAAGUAAAUGUACUUACAGCUUAGGAUACAAAUACAGAAAUGUUACA